UGGGGAAUCUUGCGCAAUGGACGAAAGUCUGACGCAGCGACGCCGCGUGGGGGAUGACGGGUUUCGGCUUGUAAACCCCUGUUGCCCGGGACGAACUUCUCCUUUCGAGGAGAUUGACGGUACCGGGUGAGGAAGCACCGGCUAACUCUGUGCCAGCAGCCGCGGUAAUACAGAGGGUGCGAGCGUUGUCCGGAAUCACUGGGCGUAAAGGGCGCGUAGGUGGCGGCCCAAGUCCAUGGUGAAAGCUCGAUGCUCAACAUCGAGUCGGCCACGGAUACUGGGUUGCUCGAGCACUGUAGGGGCAGAUGGAAUUCCGGGUGUAGCGGUGGAAUGCGUAGAGAUCCGGAAGAACACCGGUGGCGAAGGCGGUCUGCUGGGCAGUUGCUGACACUGAGGCGCGACAGCGUGGGGAGCAAACA
This 419-nucleotide ribosomal RNA is filed under the name uncultured Gemmatimonas sp. Its description in RNAcentral is "bacterial SSU rRNA". It matches the Rfam family "Bacterial small subunit ribosomal RNA", at positions 355 to 774 of the family's 1533-position model. The record is from RNAcentral. Lineage: Bacteria; Pseudomonadati; Gemmatimonadota; Gemmatimonadia; Gemmatimonadales; Gemmatimonadaceae.